CCUACGGUGGGCAGCAGUGAGGAAUAUUGGUCAAUGGGCGGGAGCCUGAACCAGCCAAGUCGCGUGAGGGAAGACGGUCCUAUGGAUUGUAAACCUCUUUAGGCGGGGAGCAAUGCCGGGCACGCGUGCCCGGAGGGAGAGUACCCGCAGAAUAAGCAUCGGCUAACUCCGUGCCAGCAGCCGCGGUAAUACGGAGGAUGCGAGCGUUGUCCGGAAUCAUUGGGCGUAAAGAGUUCGUAGGCGGCAUGUAAAGUCAGGUGUUAAAGGCGCAGGCUCAACCUGUGUAUGGCACUUGAUACUUGCAAGCUGGAAUGCGGUAGAGGUAAAGGGAAUUCCUGGUGUAGCGGUGAAAUGCUUAGAUAUCAGGAGGAACUUCGGUGGCGUAAGCUCUUUACUGGGCCGUAAUUGACGCUGAGGAACGAAAGCCAGGGUAGCAAAUGGGAUUAGAUACCCCUGUAGUC
Molecule: ribosomal RNA, 461 nt
Filed under: uncultured bacterium
Lineage: Bacteria
Description: partial 16S ribosomal RNA
Rfam family: Bacterial small subunit ribosomal RNA
Source: RNAcentral